RNAcentral lists this ribosomal RNA (254 nucleotides) under uncultured bacterium. RNAcentral describes it as "partial 16S ribosomal RNA". It matches the Rfam family "Bacterial small subunit ribosomal RNA", at positions 524 to 777 of the family's 1533-position model. The record is from RNAcentral.
UACGGGGGGGGCAAGCGUUGUUCGGAAUUACUGGGCGUAAAGGGCUCGUAGGCGGCCAACUAAGUCAGACGUGAAAUCCCUCGGCUUAACCGGGGAACUGCGUCUGAUACUGGAUGGCUUGAGGUUGGGAGAGGGAUGCGGAAUUCCAGGUGUAGCGGUGAAAUGCGUAGAUAUCUGGAGGAACACCGGUGGCGAAGGCGGCAUCUGGACCAAUUCGUGACGCUGAGGAGCGAAAGCCAGGGGAGCAAAGCGGG